AAACCGGGGCCUAAACAUGCAAGUCGAGCGGAUGAAGGGAGCUUGCUCCCUGAUUCAGCGGCGGACGGGUGAGUAAUGCCUAGGAAUCUGCCUGGUAGUGGGGGACAACGUCUCGAAAGGGACGCUAAUACCGCAUACGUCCUACGGGAGAAAGCAGGGGACCUUCGGGCCUUGCGCUAUCAGAUGAGCCUAGGUCGGAUUAGCUAGUUGGUGAGGUAAUGGCUCACCAAGGCGACGAUCCGUAACUGGUCUGAGAGGAUGAUCAGUCACACUGGAACUGAGACACGGUCCAGACUCCUACGGGAGGCAGCAGUGGGGAAUAUUGGACAAUGGGCGAAAGCCUGAUCCAGCCAUGCCGCGUGUGUGAAGAAGGUCUUCGGAUUGUAAAGCACUUUAAGUUGGGAGGAAGGGCAGCUAACUAAUACUUCGCUGUUUUGACGUUACCGACAGAAUAAGCACCGGCUAACUCUGUGCCAGCAGCCGCGGUAAUACAGAGGGUGCAAGCGUUAAUCGGAAUUACUGGGCGUAAAGCGCGCGUAGGUGGUUUGUUAAGUUGAAUGUGAAAUCCCCGGGCUCAACCUGGGAACUGCAUCCAAAACUGGCAAGCUAGAGUAGGGCAGAGGGUGGUGGAAUUUCCUGUGUAGCGGUGAAAUGCGUAGAUAUAGGAAGGAACACCAGUGGCGAAGGCGACCACCUGGGCUCAUACUGACACUGAGGUGCGAAAGCGUGGGGAGCAAACAGGAUUAGAUACCCUGGUAGUCCACGCCGUAAACGAUGUCAACUAGCCGUUGGAAGCCUUGAGCUUUUAGUGGCGCAGCUAACGCAUUAAGUUGACCGCCUGGAGAGUACGGCCGCAAGGUUAAAACUCAAAUGAAUUGACGGGGGCCCGCACAAGCGGUGGAGCAUGUGGUUUUAUUUCGAAGCAACGCGAAGAACCUUACCAGGCCUUUGACAUCCAAUGAACUUUCCAGAGAUGGAUUGGUGCCUUCGGGAACAUUGAAACAGGUGCUGCAUGGCUGUCCUCACCUCCUGGCCG
This 1036-nucleotide ribosomal RNA is filed under the name Pseudomonas lutea. Its description in RNAcentral is "bacterial SSU rRNA". It matches the Rfam family "Bacterial small subunit ribosomal RNA", at positions 38 to 1068 of the family's 1533-position model. The record is from RNAcentral. Lineage: Bacteria; Pseudomonadati; Pseudomonadota; Gammaproteobacteria; Pseudomonadales; Pseudomonadaceae.